ACUGAUCUGCAUUUUGAUUAUAUCGUCGACGUAAUCAACAUUAACUCAGCAUCAAAAACAAAUAGGAUUUUCCUUUUUCAAUUUUCACAUUUUGCAAGUCUCUUGGGUUUGUUGGGGGGUUUUGUGCAGUUUUUCGGAUUUUAACGAAUUUUACACAUGUACGAGUAUUUCUUCCAUUAUAUUGGGCAACUCAAUUCGUUAUUUUCUUUUAUCACCAGCAGUCUAGUAAACGUGUACAAAUGAAUAUAAAAAUCUACCGAAAAUAGGGCAUCAAAGUCAUACUCUUUAUUGUUAAAAGAAAACAAAUCCCAGAAGUAAAUGAAAAUGUAACAACUUUUAUUAUUGAACAUGAACAUAUAUAUAUCAACAUCAAAAUUAUAGACCAAAUGGAAUUCUUACAAAAUUGUAUGAAGAUAUGUGAUUAUAUACAUUAGAUUCACUUUACAAAAUGCAUGGUAUCUCAAACAUUUAUAUCUUUUUUGUACAAGAGAACACUCGAAAUUCCAAAAUACCACAAUUAGAACUGUCACAUGUAGAAAAAUACAAAAGCAUUUAGUAUUCAGUGCAAAACAUUUAAUCUUCGA
Molecule: long non-coding RNA, 584 nt
Filed under: Mytilus galloprovincialis (Mediterranean mussel)
Lineage: Eukaryota; Metazoa; Mollusca; Bivalvia; Mytilida; Mytilidae
Source: RNAcentral